Molecule: ribosomal RNA, 293 nt
Filed under: uncultured eukaryote
Lineage: Eukaryota
Description: partial 18S ribosomal RNA
Rfam family: Eukaryotic small subunit ribosomal RNA
Source: RNAcentral
GGUUGAUCCUGCCAGUAGUCAUAUGCUUGUCUUAAAGACUAAGCCAUGCAUGUCUAAGUAUAAGUAUUAUACAGCGAAACUGCGAAUGGCUCAUUAAAACAGUUAUAGUUUAUUCGAUUAUUUUCUCCUACAUGGAUAACCGUAGUAAUUCUAGAGCUAAUACAUGCUGUCAAACCUGACUUUUGUGGAAGGGUUGUAUUUAUUAGAUAUAAAACCAAUACUCGCAAGAGGAUUGUGAUGAUUCAUAAUAACUGAGCGGAUCGCGGCCUUGCCGCGACGAAUCGUUCAAGUUU